UGGCGGACGGGUGAGUAAUGUCUGGGAAACUGCCCGAUGGAGGGGGAUAACUACCGGAAACGGUAGCUAAUACCGCAUAACGUCGCAAGACCAAAGAGGGGGACCUUCGGGCCUCUUGCCAUCGGAUGUGCCCAGAUGGGAUUAGCUAGUAGGUGGGGUAACGGCUCACCUAGGCGACGAUCCCUAGCUGGUCUGAGAGGAUGACCAGCCACACUGGAACUGAGACACGGUCCAG
RNAcentral lists this ribosomal RNA (235 nucleotides) under uncultured bacterium. RNAcentral describes it as "partial 16S ribosomal RNA". It matches the Rfam family "Bacterial small subunit ribosomal RNA", at positions 96 to 334 of the family's 1533-position model. The record is from RNAcentral.